This 403-nucleotide long non-coding RNA is filed under the name Astyanax mexicanus (Mexican tetra). RNAcentral's name for it is "lncRNA (ENSAMXG00005005969.1)". Lineage: Eukaryota; Metazoa; Chordata; Actinopteri; Characiformes; Acestrorhamphidae. The record is from RNAcentral.
UGUGCGUGCAUAUUUGUGUGCAGAGACACAUGGAUGUCCACAUACUGCGUGUUGAAGACGUACCAGAGAUGCUGGCACAACGGUCACAUGACCCAGAGAGAACUGCUGGACAGUGACAUUACUCAAUACAGAGUGAUCCCACGCUACAGCAGUGUGAUCUCUAAACCCAUGUGGCUGAACAGAGUGAAGGAGAAGCUGCAGAAUAAAGAGUACAGAACACUGAUCCAGUUUGUGUCUGACAUCCAGCUCAUCUUUCAAAACUGCCACAUCUUUAAUAAGGUGAGGUGCUGCAGUGCAAAUAUCAGGAACCACCAAACUCUUCAUUCUUUCUCUUUCAGUCAGAACACCUGCACUCAAAAAAAUAACUCAUUGGAUUAACUCAAUUAAAUUGUGGGCAGGAUUU